UUGGACACGGAGCCUGGCUCUGGGCAGAGCUUGGUGGCUCCACACUGUCCCUCCCUGCCAGCCAGGAGGUGCAGGAGCAGUCCUGGCCAAGCCUGGGAGCACCAAGCUGCUCCUGGUGGGACCACAACUGAUGCUCACCCAGGUUUAGGCAGAGUCACCAGCAUCCUACAGACCUGCCCAGCCCCUCUUUAUCUGGAACUCAUCCCAACCACAGCAAUGUUCCACUCACUCUCCAUAGCUUUUUUUUAAGACUCCAGUGAUGCUCUACCCAUCUUACUGCAGCUCCCAGACAACUCCAGAAAACACCUGAGUAAAUGAAGGCAGCCACAGACCUCUCUCUGGAGGAUCAGCCAUCAGAAGUUUAGGAAAUCCUGCCACAAAUGAAGAAACAUGUUCCAGACAAAACUUUCUUACAUCUGAAUUAUUGGAAUAAACAAUAAGGAAAAUGGACAAAAAAGAUGUACCUAGUAUUUCCCUUCACCUUCCCAGAUGCAAAGCAAGGUACUGAGGAAUCACAAGAGGUGUUUGUUGCCAGGGAUCUCUGAAUGCUGUCAAGUCCAAAUCCUCUGCUCAGAGCAGCUGCAGCCAGGGCUGGUGCCCAGGGCUCUGCUUGGUCCAACUUUGAAUAUCUUCAGGGGUGGAUACUCCAAAAUCUCUCUGGGUAACCUGUUUCAGUAUUUCACUACACCCAGUGAAAAAGUGUUUUCUUUUGUUUUAGAGGAAUUUCCUAUGUUUCAGGUUUUGUCCAUUUCCUCUGGUCUUGUCACUGCAGAGAAAAGUCUG
This 783-nucleotide long non-coding RNA is filed under the name Cyanistes caeruleus (blue tit). RNAcentral's name for it is "lncRNA (ENSCCEG00000017755.1)". Lineage: Eukaryota; Metazoa; Chordata; Aves; Passeriformes; Paridae. The record is from RNAcentral.